RNAcentral lists this transfer RNA (76 nucleotides) under Chloroflexota bacterium. Its description in RNAcentral is "Chloroflexi bacterium tRNA-His". It matches the Rfam family "tRNA". Rfam says of the family: Transfer RNA (tRNA) molecules are approximately 80 nucleotides in length. Their secondary structure includes four short double-helical elements and three loops (D, anti-codon, and T loops). Further hydrogen bonds mediate the characteristic L-shaped molecular structure. tRNAs have two regions of fundamental functional importance: the anti-codon, which is responsible for specific mRNA codon recognition, and the 3' end, to which the tRNAs corresponding amino acid is attached (by aminoacyl-tRNA synthetases). tRNAs cope with the degeneracy of the genetic code in two manners: having more than one tRNA (with a specific anti-codon) for a particular amino acid; and 'wobble' base-pairing, i.e. permitting non-standard base-pairing at the 3rd anti-codon position. RNAcentral also lists the same sequence under 1 other name. The record is from RNAcentral. Lineage: Bacteria; Bacillati; Chloroflexota.
GUGGGUGUCGCCUAGCGGUUAAGGCGCCAGGUUGUGGCCCUGGAGACCGGGGGUUCGAAUCCCCUCACCCACCCCA